Molecule: long non-coding RNA, 6344 nt
Filed under: Heterocephalus glaber (naked mole-rat)
Lineage: Eukaryota; Metazoa; Chordata; Mammalia; Rodentia; Bathyergidae
Description: lncRNA (ENSHGLG00100041172.1)
Source: RNAcentral
GUGAGGAGAGGAGGGGAGGCCGGCCAGACUCCUCUGCAGCUCUCAGGCCUCCCGCACAAGCUCAGCCUGCCUGGCACACACGUGGAGAUUCUCCCCUCCCUGUGUGGCGCUAAGGCACCUUGGUGAGCUCCUCAUGGUCCACAUGGGCUGCGAGUGUGUGGGAUGGCCUGGGGCGACUGGAGAAGUCUGUUCACCUGGCCCUUUGGGAGCCAAGUGGAGGAGGCUCCAGAUCAGCCCCAGAAACCCUGUUCGCUGUUCUCAGUGAGGGCGUCUGCCACGAGACUGGGGCCAGAGGGGCCAUGUAGGGAUGAGGAGUGGCGGUGACUGGGAGGUGAGGAUGGCCAGAAAGUGCUAGUCUCCCAUCAUCCCUCUGUCUUGGUGAACUCCGCUGUAUCUUAGAAUCCUGCUUGACCCGGCUCUUCAGGAAGCUGCCCUGGCAGGCCGGGCUGAGCCUGAAGAUGCCUGGCCUGGCUCUGUGGCCUCUGUGAGCCCCGGCCCCUCCUGGCCUCAGUUCUAGCUGGAGGAAACAGGACUCCCUCCUCAUCCUGGGAAGGCGGUCUCUUCCUCUCAGCGGGACUUUGAAGAGGCCGUGAAGAACCCACAGGGCCCUGCAGCAGUGGAACCAGACACCCAGAUUCACCACCCUGGAGUCGUUCCCAGCCUAGCACAGAGCCUGGGAAACAGAUGGAGAAAGCGUAGGGUGGGAGGGCCCAACAUCCUGGGCGGCUGGGGAAAUGACAGCAGCCGGGAUCCCAGCACUUAGCAUGGGUCAGUUAACAAUGCAUCCGGCCCCACCCAGCCUGUGAGGAGCCCCUUCUGUUCCUCACGCUCACACACCUGAAACUGACUCUCUGCUGGGCUCACUUGUCCACACUGCUGCUACUACCACCGCCACAGGGCCAGGAUUAGACCCCAGACAACCUGGACCGGAAGUCCACACUCCCAUCCACGGAACUACAAAACAAAAUGAAAACCAUCUCUCCCUCUGGCAGGGAUGACGGAUAAUAGGUUUGAUGCCAUCAAGUGCUGCUGAGGUCACCUCACCACCACCACCACCACGGGGAGCCCACGUCUGAUUACCUAGGGAGCCCCAAGAGUUCGGGUCAGAGUGGAGCGAACAGCUCUUUCAUCUCAUCUGCGUUUAGGUUGCCAUGCAGGAAAGAGUCGUGCAUUGCUUUGGUUUGUAACUCAUUUAAAAGGAGAAUGGGGGCAGUGAUACAGGGACAGCAUGUGCGAGGCCCGAGUUGCAUCCUUAGCCCAUCCCCCAAACAGAUGGGGGAGUAUGUUGGGGAAAGGGAAUCAAAGAUGGACAGAAUGGAAGGCUCUCAGACAGUUGUCCCUGACCGUGACCUCCUGCAGGCUUUGUCUGGGCGAGGCCUGUUCUUUUAUUGGGCACAUAUGUAUUUUCUGGGGGCCCCUAGGUCCUCGGCUCUGUGCCGGGCUGUGUGCUCUCCCCAGGCACACCCAGGGUGUGUCCCGACAGAGGGGCUCCCCUUCUGUCCCUGUCUGGGCGCUCUGUGGUAACAAGGUCAGGGCUGCAGGGAGGAGCCAGUUCUGGCCAGAGCUCUGAUCUGUGACGGGCUGUUCCCCGGAGCAGCUGCUACAACAACAUUUACUUUGUACAGUGGCCAAGAGAGAGAGCAAGAAAAGGAAGAGAGAGAGAGAGAGAGAGAGAGAGAGAGAGAGAGAGAGAGACAGAGGGAGAGAGCACACAAGCCUACUCUAUUGCAAAAUGUUUCUGACAAAAUCUGGCACUCCUGGUUCUAAUCAAAAUACUGAACUUUGGAACAAAUUAACAUUCCACAGCCCUCACUGGGAAGGAGAAUUCAGCCGAGACGACUUCAGUUCACAACAACAAAAAUAGCUUCUCCCGGGGAAGACACAUUCUGCUAACAAGGUCACUUGUGUUUUGCUUCCCCUGCCAUCUGGCUGAGCGGCAACCAGGGGCUGGCACUGGUACCAGCGUCUUGUGUGGAGAGGGGCUGGGAACCGGGUGGUGCCGCUGAAGGCUUCUCAGCCUCCUGGCAAAGGGUGUAGGCGUGGAGUUACCUUCAGACAGUCCCAGAACUGGGGCAGAUGGAGCCCAGUCUCACCCAGCCGGGCUCAGCUUCGAGCUCCGAGCAGCAGGAGGUGUGACACCAGCACACAGCAACAAGCAGGCACACCAGUCAUAUUGGAUUAAAGGCCCAAGACUCCAUUCUGACCUCAUCUUGGCUAAUUGCAUCUCCAUGACCCUAUUUCCAAAUAAGGUCACAAUCUCAGGUACUGUGAAUUGGGACUUCAGCAUCUUUUUGCAGGGUUGGUGAGGGACAUACAAUUCAAUCCACAGGCAACAAAGGAAGCCUUAGCUCUUUCUUUGUCUGAAUUUUUUCCCUCUCAUUUUGUUCUCUUAAAGAAUCAUGGCAGGGCCCAGUUCAAAGUUCACCUUCUUGGUUAUUUUUCCUGAAUAACCCAGGAGAAAUGAGUCACUUCUUUGCCUAUCUUUAUAGCCUUUUUGCAUUUCUAUUAAAGAAUCUAUCACAUUGUGUGUAACCUGAGGGCAGAAGCCACCUUAUUCACCUGGGAAUAGAGCUCAGAGUUCCUGAAUCCCAUUUAGAUCUGCUCUAUGGAGUUGAUGUUCCCUAUGGGGAUAUUCCAGUCACAUGUUCAAAACAAAACAAAACAAAAAACUGUGAGUCUGUAGAUAAAUGAAAACAAUGGGGACUCUGUAUUAUUUAGUUUUCUAUUUUAGGCAUUUUAUCACUAAGAACUACUUUGCAUAAACAGGGUUGUAUCUAAAUGUCUUCCUAUGUGAAGUUCCCAUUUUUGAUUGGCUAUAAUAUUUCAACAUGUAAAAAUAGUGUUUUAAUGUAAAUGCAGUAUAAUUGGGUUUCCCAACCUUGCACUGUUGAUAUUCUAGGCUGGAUUAUUCUUUAGCAGGGGGCUGUCUUGUGUUUUGCAGGAUGUGGAGCAGCACCCCAACCUUUAUCAAACAGAUGCUUCUAGCAUUGCUUAAUUCAGUUGCGACAACCAAAAAAUGUUAGUGUCUCCUGGUGUGUGUGUGUGGCAAAAUUACCCCUAGUUGAGAAGAAUGAGAAUAUUCAUUUAGGGGUUGGAAAUCUUAAAGUUGUAAAAAUCAUCCAAAUUUCUCUUUAUCUUGCUUUCUGUUAAAUACUUUCCUGUGUUGUAAGGCUGCUCUGCUCUGAGACCACUGGCACCGUGAGCAGAUGGCAUGACUUGGCUGUCCCCUGCUCCUGCCUCCGUGCACCUGGGACCUGUGGGUGGCCUCGUUUGCAUGGAGGAAAAAGAUAAUAUCCCUAUUUAUUACAAAGACUCAGGCAUUUGAAGGACCCAACCAAUGGUGUGACAUGUGUGGGCACAUGAACUUCACCUUGGAUGCCCCAGAAGUUUCUAGAGCUGACUUCCUUUAACUAGAAGGAAUAUGACUGUGGUCUUAGAAGAAAGACAUUACCUGGAGGAAGUUGAAAGCCAGCAUGCAGAGAAGGAAGACUACGGAAGGGCUCAGGCAGCUACACAGCUCUGCAGAACAAAAUGUUCUUGUCCAGGCCAUGGGGCCACAGGCUGGGACAGAGGGGAGGUAAGGAAGCUGCUCUCAUUCAGUCAGACCAGGUGAUGACCUGCCCCAUAUAGAUUUGGGUCUGUGCCUGGCAUGGGGAAGAGGGGAGAGUAGAGCUUCCUGUCUGGAAAUGGCUGUGGCUCUGCUUCCUUUCUACAGCCCUUGGGUUUCAGUCGGGAAGCUCCAGUGCUGUUGACUGGAGCAGGAAGCCUCCUCGGCUGCCUGUGUUCCCAGUAGAGAUUUGACCUAGGGCUUGGGCUCUGCUCCAUGAUGGAAGCCCUGCAAACUGCAAGACCAAUAUUUACUGAACCAGGAGGCUGUUAUUCUCAUGCUUUUUAAAACAUUGAGGUCAAGUUCACAUAACAUAAAAGUAGCCAUGUAUAUUAUUCAGUGACAUUCAGGCCAUUCCAGGUGUGGUACAACCAUCACCUCUGUCUAGUUCCAACAUGUUUUUAUGUCCCCUCAAAAAUCCAGUACCCAGAAGCAUCACCCCAUUCACCUGUCUGUGAACCCUGGCAACCACCAGGGUUCUAUAUUCUGUCUCCAUGGAUAUUCCUAUAAAUGGAAUCCUACAGCUGGUGGGCUCUUGUGACUGGCUUCUUUCACUUAGCAUAAUCUCCUCAAGCUUCAGCCACAUUGUAGCAUGUGUCAGUGCUUCACUCCUUUUUAUGGAUGAGCAAUACCCCCCUGUGUGGCUGGAGCACGUUUUGUUUAUCCUGUCAUCUGCUGGUGGACAUCUGGGCCGCCUCCACCUUUGGCUAUGGAGAAUAGUGCUGCUGCGAACAUUCGUGUCUCCCAUGAGCCUGUGAAGAGUCUGGAACAUUCACUCAUAGAACCCUGAAAUUAGGCAACAGAUAUCUUUGGAGGAUCAUUAUUUCAGCCUAGCACAAGGAGUGACGCCUGGUGUGUUUGCAACCCAAUAAUACCAGCUACCAAUUGCUUGCUGUGCACCAAGCUCUGUGGAUUGAAUUCUCACAAAUCAUAGUGUUUUAGUUGACUGAACUUCAUUUGAAUAAGUGGAUUUCGGGGAAUAUGUCUGCUGAGAUACUAAACCUUGAUUGCACUGCAGUGCUGGGAUGGAACCGAGGGCCUCGUGCACAAUGGACAAGUGCUUGACCACGGAGCUCCACCUCAGUCCUUUACUGAGCCUUAGACUUUAUCUUCAUGUGCUCUCUAGACAACUCCUGUGUUAACAUUUGAGGCUUGUAUAGGCCAAGCAUCCCUAAUCUGGAAAUCAAAAGUGCUCCAAAAUCCAAAACUUUCUGAGCACUGACAUGCUGCCAUAGUGGAAGUUCAGUUCCUUGUGGCUACGGAACAGAGACCCUGUGUCGUUGCUGGCUGCUCCCCGCUCCGGGCGGCUGCCCACACUCCUUGUCACACAGUUCCUUCUGCCUUCCAGCCAGCGAUGGCACAUGGGCUCCUCGUUCUCAGAAGCUCUGACUUUUCUGUUGCUGACUUUAGAAGCCUUCAAGGGUGGUCCUGCCAAUCCCUGCCACAGCAGCAGCCGUGUUAGUGUGGUUGUAUGUACAGCCCGGGGCAGGAACUCUCACAGGCAGGCUUAGAAUUCUGCCUCCCGCAAGGCUUUUGACCUAAGUGUUAGACCAGGUCUUUUGCUGACCCUGACUUCAAAAUGUUUGAAUGCACAGUUGUGCAAGGAGUUCCCAUAUUGUGGCUGACAUUGAAGAAGAGUUGUUUAAGGUGCGACAUUCUGCAGAUCUAUGGGUACUGCCUACACUGCCUCGUGCUGUUGAUUACUGCAUUGAUGGCUUCAGAAGCUCUCCACGUGUUGAUCAAGACCUUGUUGAACCUUGACAGAGUGAUAAAUUGCAUGCUUGUUUCCCCUCAUGAUUUCGUGGCUCUUUUGAAAGACUACCCCCUUGAUGUGCCCAGGAAAAUUUCCUUUGAUGUGCUAAGUCUGGACAGUUGAGCUUUUAAGGAAUCUAAAGCAGAGAAAAUGAGUACCUGCCCAUCCUGAGGCAGGCUGGCCUCUGUGUUUUCUGCUUGUGGUGAACCUGGGCUGCAAAAAUGGUUUUUAUUCUCAGCCAUCUGGUUCCUCUCACCUGUCAAAUAGCCCAGCUCUCAGAUUCUGACACAAGAAUAAAUUGCCCCCUUGUUAUGUUAAGUAAAAGAAACUAAAGUGUGAAGGAAAACGCCUUUGAAAGAGAGGCCAAGGAAGGAGUUCCUAUUGCCAAGAUUGGUCAAAAGUGGCUGGAAAUCUCUCUCUUUCAAUGCAGCGGGUUUUGACUGGUAUAAAACAGCAUUUUCCAGCAUGUGUCUCUGGGAAACCAGUUUUAUCUGAUGAGUAAUGGGUGUGAGGAGGAAAAGAUUCUCCCGUCACACAGGUUCACCAUGCUACCUCCGUAUCAAUCUCCUGAGGUGAAAUACGAUUGGCUGUGAUCUACAAACCCAUGUAGGGGCUGAUGCUCCUCUGGUUUCCUGUGAAAGAAAUAUUUACAAGAUAAGGGAUCCAAGGAGCACACUUCAGGAAGGGCAGCGUUGAAGGAUAGCUAUGACUUUGAGAAAGUAGGCAUGGGCAGUUGGCGAAUCUGUGUCGCCAAUCCACAGAUGAACCCGUCUCCACAUUUGAGGAGGAACAGAGUCGGAUUGUAGAUGCACACUUGGUGUGUCUUAAAUAUUUCUCAGUAAAAUUAUUUCUUACACUCUUUAUUGACUAUUGAUAUCAUUCUCAGUUUGAGGGUCCCCAAAGUAACCUCAGAGCCUUCAGUAAUAAUUUUCUAUCUAGAGAAUGGUGAAGAGAAUGAAAUGAAUAUUUUGAUUAUGACAUGGG